RNAcentral lists this ribosomal RNA (368 nucleotides) under uncultured organism. RNAcentral's name for it is "bacterial SSU rRNA". It matches the Rfam family "Bacterial small subunit ribosomal RNA", at positions 526 to 896 of the family's 1533-position model. The record is from RNAcentral.
CGUAGGUGGCAAGCGUUGUCCGGAUUUAUUGGGCUUAAAGGGUGCGUAGGCGGUUAUAUAAGUCAGUGCUGAAAUAUCCCGGCUUAACCGGGAGGGUGGCAUUGAUACUGUAUGACUUGAGUAAAGUUGAGGUUGGCGGAAUUGACGGUGUAGCGGUGAAAUGCUUAGAUAUCGUCAAGAACACCGAUUGCGAAGGCAGCUAACUAAGCUUUAACUGACGCUGAGGCACGAAAGUGUGGGGAUCAAACAGGAUUAGAUACCCUGGUAGUCCACACUGUAAACGUUGAUUACUCGCUGUUGGCGAUACACAGCCAGCGGCUAAGCGCAAGCGAUAAGUAAUCCACCUGGGGAGUACGCCGGCAACGGUG